This 481-nucleotide ribosomal RNA is filed under the name uncultured bacterium. RNAcentral describes it as "partial 16S ribosomal RNA". It matches the Rfam family "Bacterial small subunit ribosomal RNA", at positions 28 to 507 of the family's 1533-position model. The record is from RNAcentral.
GAUGAACGCUGGCGGCGUGCCUAACACAUGCAAGUCGAACGGAGAUUCCGGACGGAAGUUUUCGGAUGGAAGACUGUAAUUCUUAGUGGCGGACGGGUGAGUAACGCGUGGGCAACCUGCCCUAUACAGGGGGAUAGCAGCUGGAAACGGCUGGUAAGACCGCAUAAGUCGGUUAAAUCGCAUGAUUUGAUCGGGAAAUGAGCAAUCAGGUAUAGGAUGGGCCCGCGUCCGAUUAGCCAGUUGGCAGGGUAAAAGCCUACCAAAGCGACGAUCGGUAGCCGGGCUGAGAGGUCGGACGGCCACAUUGGGACUGAGACACGGCCCAAACUCCUACGGGAGGCAGCAGUGGGGGAUAUUGCACAAUGGAGGAAACUCUGAUGCAGCGACGCCGCGUGAGUGAAGAAGUAUUUCGGUAUGUAAAGCUCUAUCAGCAGGGAAGAUGAUGACGGUACCUGACUAAGAAGCCCCGGCUAACUACGUG